AACUGAGGCUGCAUAAGUUUGGAAGAGCGUCAACCCAUGCAGCGGCUCUUAAGCAGUGGCACCAGCUGUUUAAGGGUGAAAAGAGUGGUGCUGGGCAGUGCGGUUGGGCUUCCUGGGCUGUACUGUCGAGACUUCACAGGAGGGCUAAGCCUGUAGACGCGAAAGGUGGCGGCUCGUCGGACGCGGGUUCGAUUCCCGCCGCCUCCACCA
Molecule: transfer-messenger RNA, 210 nt
Filed under: Coprothermobacter sp.
Lineage: Bacteria; Pseudomonadati; Coprothermobacterota; Coprothermobacteria; Coprothermobacterales; Coprothermobacteraceae
Description: partial transfer-messenger RNA
Rfam family: transfer-messenger RNA
About the family: Bacterial tmRNA, also known as 10Sa RNA or SsrA, is named for its dual tRNA and mRNA-like properties. Its role is to liberate the mRNA from a stalled ribosome. To accomplish this part of the tmRNA is used as a reading frame that ends in a translation stop signal.
Source: RNAcentral